Molecule: long non-coding RNA, 326 nt
Filed under: Rattus norvegicus (Norway rat)
Lineage: Eukaryota; Metazoa; Chordata; Mammalia; Rodentia; Muridae
Description: long non-coding RNA NONRATT018849
Source: RNAcentral
UUCCUCUAGCUCCCAUGUGCUUUCUUCAUACGGCAGAGAGCACCAUUUUACCAGUGGCCCCUCUCUGGAUUCUUCUCAGAAAACAGACUGAAGAGGUGUACUUGAGAAUAAGUCAUCUCACAGACAUUUCUCAAAGACUGUCCUCAAAUUCUGCUAUUCAUGACUAAAAUUAAAGGACCCAAACCAUUAUAGUCUGAACCAUGACCAAGUCAGACCUUCUGUAACAACAGGGAAAGGCCAGGCUGAGGGCUCCCUGUUUUAUUCCCUUGGUGAAUUGGAAUGACAAGUUCCUUUUCGUAACACUGAUAAAGUUCUAUUUCCUCAUU